GACGAACGCUGGCGGCGUGCUUAACACAUGCAAGUCGAACGGAAAGGCCCUGCUUUUGUGGGGUGCUCGAGUGGCGAACGGGUGAGUAACACGUGAGUAACCUGCCCUUGACUUUGGGAUAACUUCAGGAAACUGGGGCUAAUACCGGAUAGGAGCUCCUGCUGCAUGGUGGGGGUUGGAAAGUUUCGGCGGUUGGGGAUGGACUCGCGGCUUAUCAGCUUGGUGGUGGGGUAGUGGCUUACCAAGGCUUUGACGGGUGGCCUGCCUGAGCGGGUGACAGGCCACAUUGGGAUUGGGAUGCGGCCCAGACCCCUACGGGAGGCAGCAGUGGAGAAUAGUGCACAAUGGGCGGAAGCCUGAUGCAGCAACGCCGCGUGCGGGAUGACGGCCUUCGGGUUGUAAACCGCUUUCGCCUGUGACGAAGCGUGAGUGACGGUAAUGGGUAAAGAAGCACCGGCUAACUACGUG
This 468-nucleotide ribosomal RNA is filed under the name uncultured bacterium. Its description in RNAcentral is "partial 16S ribosomal RNA". It matches the Rfam family "Bacterial small subunit ribosomal RNA", at positions 28 to 507 of the family's 1533-position model. The record is from RNAcentral.